GAGAAGGAAGGGUAGGCGGGGUAAAGGCAAGGGAGGAGGGGAUUCAAGAUGGAGAUGAUAGAGGAAGAUGAUUCCAAUUCAAGUGGUCUGGGGCAAUUUUAUCUUGUCCUAGUUCCAGAGCCUGCACCUCUGUAUCCAGUGUCUGGGAAUGCUUUUCUGAGAAUGAUACCAACCUGCUGGAAAACAGGAAGCCACAUGAUCCAGACGCAAGGAAGCUCACAGUCCACACUUAGUAUCAGCUGCCAAGUACAGACAGGAGGCUGUCUGCCCUCUCCAAUUCAACAGCUCUCCGGCAUUUAUGUGAGUGAGCCCAGACAAAAGCAGCAGAGGACUCACCCAACCAAACUACAGAACAAUAAGGAACGAGACUUUGAUGAAAUUAAGCUAACUUGAUACUCAUAAAGCCUGAGCCUGUUGCUCAUUCAAGUGGGAUGAUUCCUGACUAACUA
Non-coding RNA from Rattus norvegicus (Norway rat), 449 nucleotides. The record is from RefSeq and is a predicted model, not a curated record. NCBI's taxonomy places the organism in Eukaryota, Metazoa, Chordata, Mammalia, Rodentia, Muridae.